Drosophila novamexicana is the source of this 432-nucleotide long non-coding RNA. RefSeq lists it as uncharacterized. NCBI's taxonomy places the organism in Eukaryota, Metazoa, Arthropoda, Insecta, Diptera, Drosophilidae. The transcript has 3 exons. The record is from RefSeq and is a predicted model, not a curated record.
UACAUGGACUAUCAGAGAAUUCAGGGAUUCAUCGUGAUGUGAAGCCCCACAAUAUGUUGUUGGACGGUACAAGAAAGACAUUGAAAAUUUGCGAUUUUGGGUUUUUAAUGGUCAGCGAUACACUGAGAAAUGUGAUGUAUAUAGCAUGGGCAUUACAAUCUGGGAAGUUCUGUCGCGUAAGAUACCAUACUAUGAACAACACAAUCUUGGACAUGUUCAACUCUUAAGUCUAAUUGAUCACGAUCUACGGCCCUCACUAAAUGAUUUGAUUUUUGAGUGUCCCGAGCAAAUAAAAAUUCUGAUGCUAGAAUGCUGGGAUAAGAGCCCCAAAAAGCGUCCCUCUAUGAAGGGCAUUUUGGACAUCUUGAUAUCAAAUGAAUAAAAUGUGAAGUGAGUUGGAGUGAAGCGGAUAUUGAUUAGAACUUCACUAUU